This 3044-nucleotide unclassified non-coding RNA is filed under the name Leishmania donovani. RNAcentral describes it as "gene:LdHU3.26.0430(CDS-product:mitotic_cyclin_put ative)". Lineage: Eukaryota; Euglenozoa; Kinetoplastea; Trypanosomatida; Trypanosomatidae. The record is from RNAcentral.
ACACGCAGCGGAGAAACAGAGACGUUAUUCUACCGAAAAGAAGGUGCAGUGGUGCCGCCGAGUCGCGAGCAGCCUUCGCCUCUUCCUCUGCCCCUAGCCCCUAGCCCCUCCCCACCGCCACCACCCGCAGCGAAGCGUCUCUGUGCACAGCCUCACACCUGCAGGCGCAGCCGCAUCACACACACUCCUGUCUUGCUCAAAGCCCCAGUCUUCAUUGCCAUUUGUUGAAUUCCCACGACAUGUCGGCAGCGAUGGACACGAGCCGCAAUGGCGCCGGGCCUGCGAAAGCCGUUUGUGCAGCGCCGACCCGGCACGUUCUCGCCCCUGUUCCAGUGAAUCGAUUGGCGCCACCCCUGCCUCCCCGUGGCACCACCCUCGACUGCUCGCAGGUGGUGCUGCGGAUGCCAGCCUACGUGGUCGCCAAACAAGAGGCGGAGAAGAUGCAGAAGGAAACGUUGCGGCCGCUGACGUUCAGGAUGAUUCAGCAGCGCAUUCGCGACCACUUCGUGCGCGACUUGGACGAAGAGACGGAGCUCAGGAACAACCGCUACAUCCUCUCGACCGCGCAAGUCGAGCGAUUCCUUUUUCCUCUUUUCCAGCGCGCCGACGCGAAAGCAGUGCGCAUUCUCGGAGAGGUAUGGGGACGCUCCCGCGACCCCUCGCGUAAGCUGAGUGAUCAGAUCGUCGCCGUCCUCACCCGCCGCCAACACGUGCUGCUGCAGGGGACGGAGCUGACGCUGAUGGAGCUGAAGGAGAAGGUGCUGUUGGCGGCGCGGUUGCAAGAGCCGCUGACGGCGGGCGAGGUCCGUCAGCUGGCGGUCCAGCUGGGCCCCAACAACCGCGUGUGGGUGGAGGAGUGGCUGCGCGCCCGUCCUGCAGAGGAGGCGGUGGAUUUGCUAGCGCUCUGCACCGCGCUGCGCGAUGCGGUGCAGCAGCGAUUCGGAGCCUUCACGUUUUCGGGGGCUUACUACCCCACAGUGCUGGACGACUUGAUCGACAUGGAUGAGCGCGCGCAGAGCUCCAUGGUGUACCCGCCGAAGCAGGGCGUGCCGGCGCAGUCCGUGCGCGCACGUGCCUGCGAGGAGCUUUUCAUCUUCACCAUAUUCUGCGGUGUGCCGCUCUCCCUCGACGCCUAUUUCCUUGCCGUAGCCCUGCUCGACCGCUUUCUUGCCCGUCGCAGCACCCCGAAAGAACAGCUGCGGCUGUACAGCAUGGCAGCCCUGCUGCUCGCUUCCAAGUGCGAUCAUUCAUGGCCGACGUUGGACCCGCACUUCGUAUCCGUCAAGAUGAAGCUCGCACAGGAAGACGUCAUGACAGCCGAGGAGGCAAUUGUGCAGACGCUGGAGUUUGACACGGCCGUGUCCACGCUGCACCACUUCUGCGAGGCACUUCUGCUCCACCAAGACCCGCCGGCGUCCCCGGAGCAGCGCCAGCUGCUGGAGUAUCUGAUUGCCUCUCUCUCGGUACACACCUACUACGGCCAGUACAGGCAGUCCUGUCUGGCAGCUGCGGCACUUCACAGCAGCCGCCACGCUGCCCGGCUCGCAACCGGCGAGCCAAGUGAGCCCGUGCGCGUACUGCUGCCAGUCGUGUACGCUGCACUGCAGAAGAACAGUGUGGAGCGCAGUCCGGGUAACCUGAUAAAGCAGAUCUACGCUCAGCCAGAACGCCACGCCGUGAGCUUGACCCCUACCGCAGUCUUGUUUCCCAGUCUGUCAUGCCGCUCCUCUCUCAGCGCCAGCGAGUGACUGUGAAUCCUCUUUUCCACACUUGCACAGCGAUGACGACUCCGUUCGUGCCGUGGCCACGUCCCUUCCGAAUCCACCACCGCAUCGAUGCACCGCAUCAACCCCCUCUUCCCUUCCCUUCCCUCUCACUCCCCCGAUGCCACCCUUUACGCGGUUCACCCCUCGCGAUGCCGGUCCAAUGCACGCCACCGGUAAACCAUCUUCAAGAGAGAGGAAGGCGGGGGGGGAGGCGGGACGAGGGAGAAGCCGUUGCGACCUGGAUAGACGCACAUGCGCACAUGAGCACAUGUAUACAUAGACGCACGCAUGGAUAGAUGCACACCGCCCCGAAAACAAAGUGCCGUACUUCUCUUUCUCGUCAGUAUUGUAUGUUCCGCAACCGUUGAGCGUGUCGCACGAACAUCACCCGUCUCUCUUUCUGCUGCGAUGCAGGGGAGCGGGGCCAUCUUCAUUAGGAUCCACUUGGCGCCACCCUUGUUGUGCAGGGGAUGCUGCCGCUGCCUUGGACGUCCGCCUCCCUACCCCCUCCCGCGGAUGCCUUGAUCUCUCGUAUUCCUGAUUUUUUUUUGCUGUUGUUGUCCACACACGCAGGCGCACGUUGACUUGAUGCGCACUGGUCACGCGAGUGGUCCCCUUAUAUGGAUGGCGAAGUGGGAGGACUCGGUGGAGGUGAGAGCGCGAGCGAGCCGCAGCCGUGAAGAAGCGCGUGCGUUUCUUUGAAUCGCAAAGGCAGAUGAACGGAAAAAGCAAUGCAGCAGGAGGCAGCCCACGUGGGGGUCGGCGUCAGCCUUGCGCGGAGACUUCGAGGGUUGUGCGUGUGAUACCUUCAAGGUUCGACGCGGCUACUCUUCUUCCUCUCUCCUCUCUUCUUCCGUGCAUUACUGUGCAUCCCUAACGGCGAGCUGCUCCUUGUAGUUGCUACAGAGAGCUUCGGUCACAUCUUGACCGAUGAAGCCCCUUGUAAGGUCUGCGUCACGUCAUACCUUGCUGUAUGUGCACGCAAACGGAUUCGAUGGGCGUGUGUGUGUGUGUGGGUAGGUGUGUAUCGCUGCGACUUGCUGCGGCUCGCGCGCCUUCUGAAUGCUGAAGCUUCCGUUGUCGCAGCUCUUUUUUCUGCUAUCGUGCCGGCAUUCUUCUCUCUCCUUCCCCGUUUUCAACGCCGCAACGCCUUACACGCCCACUUGGCGCACGUAUGGAUGCUCGUGCGUGGGUGGCUCUCAUGCUCAUCGGCGGCGGCUCCCUUUCCACCACUGUGGCUGCACCCUUCUGCGCCACACGAUCGGCAACGCCGACCAG